Molecule: long non-coding RNA, 874 nt
Organism: Pseudophryne corroboree (corroboree frog)
Lineage: Eukaryota; Metazoa; Chordata; Amphibia; Anura; Myobatrachidae
Exons: 3
Source: RefSeq, a predicted model, not a curated record
UGCCAUGCCAACUGAUGAGACGUGCGGCGUGCAAGUGCGUGCUGACGUCAUGUUCCCGCGCCAGUGACUGGGAAGAGAGUUCAAUAACAUUGUGGUAUCAAGUAAAAAAUUGGAGUGUCUCUGGACUAAUGGUUGUAAUAUAGAGUCCAAAUAGAUGGAGGUAGGCUGUAAUAGCGAUCCUCUGGCCGAUACUAUGGGGCGCCCGGGCGGAGGUAACAAACCCUUAUGAAUCUUAGGGAGCGUGUAUAGAAGCGGCAUCACUGGAUACUUAGGGAGUAGGAUAUCGAAGACUGAAUCGUCAAUCAAUUUUGAGUCUUUUGCCAAGAUGUUUGCCAUGCCAACUGAUGCGAGACGUGCAAGUGCGCGCUGACGUCAUGUUCCCGCGCCAGUGACUGGGACAGACUCCCCCGCUGGAGAAAACGGCCAAUCCGUGCAUGUCCACACGUAUUCGGGGGGGUAUAAGAAAAGAAAUAUACAAUCCAAGCCCCCCUGUGCUGUCUUCCCCUGUGUCAUCACUUCAUUCAUCGGUAUCCUUGGUAGCCAUAGUAAUCCCAAUAUUGUGAUCGGUCAUCAUAGUUCUGCCACUGCUGAGAAGACAACAGAAGAUAAGUCAGGAUUUAUGCAAGACAAACCUCAUGCACAGUUGCAAUGUGCCCGAUCCAAGUGGUCUCAAUACAUAAUGUACCUGUAAUGUCACCUUACAGCAAGCAACCAAAUCACAUGGCACAUAAGCUUCCUGUUACAGGAUUGUAUUGUAUUUGUAGCUAUCUAAAGCUUGUGUUUGUCAUAGCUUAUCAAUGUGGAUUCAAUUUGUACCAAGUUUAUCUAGUCUUCUCUGUUUAACUUUUAAAUACAAGCAAGACUAUGAACCCCA